This 372-nucleotide ribosomal RNA is filed under the name uncultured bacterium. Its description in RNAcentral is "bacterial SSU rRNA". It matches the Rfam family "Bacterial small subunit ribosomal RNA", at positions 29 to 390 of the family's 1533-position model. The record is from RNAcentral.
AUUGAACGCUGGCGGCAUGCCUUACACAUGCAAGUCGAACGGUAACGCGGGGCAACCUGGCGACGAGUGGCGAACGGGUGAGUAAUGCAUCGGAACGUGCCCAGUAGUGGGGGAUAGCCCGGCGAAAGCCGGAUUAAUACCGCAUACGACCUACGGGUGAAAGCGGGGGACCGGUAAGGCCUCGCGCUAUUGGAGCGGCCGAUGUCAGAUUAGGUAGUUGGUGGGGUAAAGGGCCUACCAAGCCUUCGAUCUGUAGCUGGUCUGAGAGGACGGACCAGCCACACUGGGACGUGAGACACGGCCCACGACUCCUACGGGAGGGCAGCAGUGGGGGAAGUUUUGGUACGAAUAGGGCGGCAAGACCUCGAUCCA